RNAcentral lists this ribosomal RNA (511 nucleotides) under uncultured bacterium. RNAcentral's name for it is "bacterial SSU rRNA". It matches the Rfam family "Bacterial small subunit ribosomal RNA", at positions 28 to 528 of the family's 1533-position model. The record is from RNAcentral.
GAUGAACGCUAGCGGCAGGCCUAACACAUGCAAGUCGAGGGGCAUCGCGGUGCAGCAAUGCACUGGCGGCGACCGGCGUACGGGUGCGUAACGCGUAUGCAACCUGCCCCGCACCGGGGGGAUAGCCCGCCGAAAGGCGGAUUAAUACCCCAUGGUCCCGGGGGCCCGCAUGGGCAUCCGGGUAAAGCCUUGGCGGUGCGGGAUGGGCAUGCGUGCCAUUAGCUGGCUGGUGGGGUAACGGCCCACCAGGGCAACGAUGGCUAGGGGGUCUGAGAGGGUGAACGGCCACACUGGUACUGAGACACGGACCAGACUCCUACGGGAGGCAGCAGUAAGGAAUAUUGGGCAAUGGUCGAAAGACUGACCCAGCCAUGCCGCGUGCAGGAUGAAGGCCCUAUGGGUUGUAAACUGCUUUUAGCCGGGAAUAAACACCCGUUUUAUAACGGGCCCGAAGGUACCGGCUGAAUAAGCAUCGGCUAACUCCGUGCCAGCAGCCGCGGUAAAAUCACGU